Molecule: small RNA, 68 nt
Filed under: Arabidopsis thaliana (thale cress)
Lineage: Eukaryota; Viridiplantae; Streptophyta; Magnoliopsida; Brassicales; Brassicaceae
Description: ATSL126640
Source: RNAcentral
AAAGUAUGGACUGUAUACGAAGGAGGACAAGAUAAUCUCGGAGCCACUUUCUUUGAGCCGUCUUCAGU